Molecule: ribosomal RNA, 494 nt
Filed under: uncultured bacterium
Lineage: Bacteria
Description: bacterial SSU rRNA
Rfam family: Bacterial small subunit ribosomal RNA
Source: RNAcentral
GAUAGAACGCUAGCUACAGGCUUAACACAUGCAAGUCGGAGGGGAAACGGCAUUUUAGCUUGCUAAGAUGGACGUCGACCGGCGCACGGGUGAGUAACGCGUAUCCAACCUGCCCCACCACUUGGGGGAUAACCUUGCGAAAGUAAGACUAAUACCCGAUGAUAUCUCUAGACGACAUCUGAAAGAGAUUAAAGAUUUAUCGGUGAUGGAUGGGGAUGCGUCUGAUUAGCUUGUUGGCGGGGUAACGGCCCACCAAGGCGACGAUCAGUAGGGGUUCUGAGAGGAAGGUCCCCCACAUUGGAACUGAGACACGGUCCAAACUCCUACGGGAGGCAGCAGUGAGGAAUAUUGGUCAAUGGGCGAGAGCCUGAACCAGCCAAGUAGCGUGCAGGACGACGGCCCUAUGGGUUGUAAACUGCUUUUAUAAGGGAAUAAAGUGAGUCUCGUGAGACUUUUUGCAUGUACCUUAUGAAUAAGGACCGGCUAAUUCCGUG